UUUGUUGCCAGCCACCGCGGUUAUACAAAAAAUAUGAAUAAAUUUUAUUAGUAAUAGUUAAAUUAUAUAAAAUUAAAAUUUUAUUUUAUUUUAUUAGGUGAAAUUUUAAAAUAAAUUAAUUUUAUUUUAUUGAAGCUAGAAAAUUUUAAUUUUAAACUAGGAUUAGAUACCCUAUUAUUUUAAAUGUAUUUUUUUAUAUUAAGGUAGUAUUAGAUAUGUUCUUUAAACUUUAAGAAUUUGGCGGUAUUUUAGUCUAUUCAGAGGAACCUGUUAUAUAAUUGAUAUUCCACAUUGAACCUUACUUAAAUUUGUCUAUCAAUUUGUAUAUCGCUGUUAUUUGAUAAUUUUUUAAGAAUAAUAAUUUUCAAUAAUUUAUAUAAAAAUUAAUAUCAAGUCAAGGUGCAGUUUAUAUUUAAGUAUUAAUGGGUUACAAUAAAUUUAUUUAUACGGAAAUUAAAUUUAAAUAUUUAAUAUAAGGAGGAUUUGAUAGUAAAAUUAUAUAGAUUAAUAGUUUGAUUAUAGCUCUAAGAUAUGUACAUAUCGCCCGUCACUCUUAUUAUUAAAGUAAGAUAAGUCGUAACAUAGUAGAUGUACUGGAAAGUGUUUCUAGAAUGA
This 615-nucleotide ribosomal RNA is filed under the name Dialysis sp. KW-2016. Its description in RNAcentral is "12S ribosomal RNA". Lineage: Eukaryota; Metazoa; Arthropoda; Insecta; Diptera; Xylophagidae. The record is from RNAcentral.